GUAGGGUGACCUGCGGAAGGAUCAUUGU
Molecule: ribosomal RNA, 28 nt
Filed under: Embelia aurantiaca
Lineage: Eukaryota; Viridiplantae; Streptophyta; Magnoliopsida; Ericales; Primulaceae
Description: partial 18S ribosomal RNA
Source: RNAcentral